GGACUAUUCAUGUUGUUGCGG
RNAcentral lists this non-coding RNA (21 nucleotides) under Arabidopsis thaliana (thale cress). Lineage: Eukaryota; Viridiplantae; Streptophyta; Magnoliopsida; Brassicales; Brassicaceae. The record is from RNAcentral.